This is a non-coding RNA of Dipodomys ordii (Ord's kangaroo rat), 65 nucleotides long. NCBI's taxonomy places the organism in Eukaryota, Metazoa, Chordata, Mammalia, Rodentia, Heteromyidae. The record is from Rfam.
GGUGGCUCAGUGGUAGAGAGCUUGCCUUGCAUGCAUGAGGUCCUGGGUUCGAUUCCUCAGCACCA